This 253-nucleotide ribosomal RNA is filed under the name uncultured bacterium. RNAcentral describes it as "partial 16S ribosomal RNA". It matches the Rfam family "Bacterial small subunit ribosomal RNA", at positions 524 to 776 of the family's 1533-position model. The record is from RNAcentral.
UACAGAGGGUGCAAGCGUUAAUCGGAUUUACUGGGCGUAAAGCGUGCGUAGGCGGUUCAUUAAGUCGGUUGUGAAAUCCCUGGGCUUAACCUGGGAACUGCAGUCGAUACUGGUGGACUAGAGUGCGGUAGAGGGUGGCGGAACUCCGGGUGUAGCGGUGAAAUGCGUAGAUAUCCGGAAGAACACCGAUGGCGAAGGCAACCACCUGGGCCUGCACUGACGCUGAGGUACGAAAGCGUGGGGAGCAAACAGG